GUCAAAAAUUUCAGGGCUUCGGGAGCCGCAAGAGGAACUACGAGCACAAGAAAUGCAGAGUUUAUGGCGCACAGAGACGCUGUAUCGCCCUCCAGGCUCCAGGCCUUUCAGCACGUAUUCCACUGUGUUGUUCUGCGUGGUCAGCUUGUAGUCCCGCUCCACCUUACGAAUCACAUCCCGCAUGUGUAUUGCAUAUGUCUAAAGAAACAAGAAGGGAAUCCACGAUCAGGUGGAUGUUAAAAGCGGUGACGUAUCAGGUGAGACAGGUGUGUACCAAAGGUUUGCUCGGGCUGUCAUAGGGGGGCUGCCACUUGAGCGUAGCCUGAGUUUUGUCGAC
This is a long non-coding RNA of Oreochromis aureus, 337 nucleotides long. RefSeq lists it as uncharacterized. Lineage: Eukaryota; Metazoa; Chordata; Actinopteri; Cichliformes; Cichlidae. The transcript is spliced from 3 exons. The record is from RefSeq and is a predicted model, not a curated record.